GAUGAAGAACGUAGCGAAAUGCGAUAAGUAAUGUGAAUUGCAGAAUUCAGUGAAUCAUCGAAUCUUUGAACGCACAUUGCGCCCUAUGGUAUUCCGUAGGGCAAGCCUGUUCGAGCGUCAUUACACACCUCAAGCUCUGCUUGGUAUUGGGCGUCGUCCCCUAAACGGGACGUGCCUCAAAGACCUCGGCGGUGGCGUCUUUGCCUCAAGCGUAGUAAUCUUUUUAUCUCGCUUUGGAGUCGAAGGCGUCGCCCGCCGGACGAAACCUUUAUUUUUCUAUCAAGGUUGACCUCGGAUCAGGUAGGGAUACCCGCUGAACUUAAGCAUAUCAAUAAGCGGAGGA
This 343-nucleotide unclassified non-coding RNA is filed under the name soil metagenome. RNAcentral describes it as "partial contains 5.8S ribosomal RNA, internal transcribed spacer 2, and large subunit ribosomal RNA". The stretch from base 1 to 120 matches the Rfam family "5.8S ribosomal RNA", at positions 35 to 154 of the family's 154-position model. The record is from RNAcentral.